Non-coding RNA from Nicotiana tabacum (common tobacco), 871 nucleotides. The record is from RefSeq and is a predicted model, not a curated record. NCBI's taxonomy places the organism in Eukaryota, Viridiplantae, Streptophyta, Magnoliopsida, Solanales, Solanaceae.
UAAAACCCUAGACCUAACAUCAUCAGAGACCUAACACCCCUAGACAUCGAUCAACGCCAUUCCCAUCGAGCAAUAGAUCCCCCUCCCCCAAAACUUCAUUUUCUUCACAAAAGACCUAAGCGAGUUCUUUAUCUUCAACCAGCAAAACCCAAGUCAGUCGUUGUUCCUUCACCUCACACCAGACGACCCUAUCUCCAUCAGCUACUCACCCAGAAUCUAGCACAUCAACAAACGCCUAAGUCUAAAAGAGCAGCUCACAUCCAGUUCUGUUUCUUCUUCAACAAAAUCAACGACCUCUCACCGUAGCUGACCCCCAAAAAUCAGCACACACAAGAACGCCAUUCAGAAGAUAAAAGUGAAAAACAGGAGCGCACGCGAAAUGAUUAAGACAAAAAAACUGAGCAACUGGAAUUUUGAAAUUGAAAUCAGAAAUUUUUACUGUUUCUGCCGCUGGCAAGUUUGGCCCGUUGAUUGUUGUUCCUCGCUCGUUCUCUGUUGCUUUGGGAUCUGCUGAUCUUUGCACUUCCACUAGCCUUCAUUCAGCUAUUGUUUUCUCUGUUUAUCCUGCUCUUAAGUGUAUGCCUUGGCUACCCUUUGGGGAUAUCAGUGUGGAAGGCCGGGGAAGUGCUUCCGAUGGCUCCUUGGAAGAUAUUUUCUUCGAGCUCAUGCGCCCGGAGGAGAUGGAAUCUAGAGGUGCUGACGCCGUGGUGGGUCUUUGAGUGCUUAAGCUAGGACCUACGCCUUCACUAUAUGUGCCCCUUUGUUUCUUUGCUUCUGUGUAGAGACCCUUUGUGGGCUUUUGUAAUCAUAUGUAUGGAUCUCUCGGGGUCGUUGUAGAUGGAAUUUUAUGAACAUGAAUAUAUUCCUUUGA